CGAAGAUGAGGUUGCUUUAACGUGUGGUCGUCACAUUUCUCCGGACCAUCCCCACCGUACCAGAAUCCAGCUUCUCACUUAAACCUUCGAAUAGAUAUUUUUAUUUUAUUUUAUUUUAUUUUUAUUUUUUAAAACAACAUCGAACAUUUUCCCACAAUAUCUGGAACUGCAAACUGCAGAAGCACUCGCAUUACAUGAACUCGCGUUCUUUUAAUCUCAAGCUCUCGCGAAGAUGACA
RNAcentral lists this long non-coding RNA (238 nucleotides) under Citrus x clementina. RNAcentral describes it as "Citrus clementina (C. clementina) long non-coding RNA (CCLE_LNC006512)". Lineage: Eukaryota; Viridiplantae; Streptophyta; Magnoliopsida; Sapindales; Rutaceae. The record is from RNAcentral.